Molecule: long non-coding RNA, 313 nt
Filed under: Homo sapiens (human)
Lineage: Eukaryota; Metazoa; Chordata; Mammalia; Primates; Hominidae
Description: HSALNT0286764
Source: RNAcentral
CUUAUACAUAGAUUUUCUUCCAUCUCUGCCACCUAUGAGACAAAACCAACCCCUCUUCUUUCUCCUCCUCCUCAGCCUACUCAAUGUGAAGACAAUAAGGAUGAAGACCUUUAUGAUGAUCCAUUUCCACUUAGGGAAUAGCUCAGCAGAGAUCCAGUCCAGGGGAAAGUGAAGAAAAUGCAACCUGUUUAAGGACAGCCCUGUUUUUCUUUGAGAUUUUUUUCCUGCCAUGACUGCUAAUGAAUGAUCCAAGAUGUUCUUGUCGCAGUGUGAUUUUUCUCCUGCUUGUUCCUAAAGAGAAGCCAAGAAGCCG